UGAGGAAUAUUGGUCAAUGGACGAGAGUCUGAACCAGCCAAGUAGCGUGCAGGAUGACGGCCCUCCGGGUUGUAAACUGCUUUUAGUUGGGAAUAAAAAAGGUGACGUGUCAUCUAUUGUAUGUACCAUCAGAAAAAGGACCGGCUAAUUCCGUGCCAGCAGCCGCGGUAAUACGGAAGGUCCAGGCGUUAUCCGGAUUUAUUGGGUUUAAAGGGAGCGUAGGCGGAGAGAUAAGUCAGCGGUAAAUCGUGCGGCUCAACCGUACCUCGCCGUUGAUACUGUUUUUCUUGAGUGCACACAGGGAUGCUGGAAUUCGUCGUGUAGCGGUGAAAUGCAUAGAUAUCACUCAGAACACCGAUUGCGAAGGCAUCUCGCGAGGGGUCAAUUGACGCUG
RNAcentral lists this ribosomal RNA (394 nucleotides) under uncultured Prevotellaceae bacterium. RNAcentral's name for it is "bacterial SSU rRNA". It matches the Rfam family "Bacterial small subunit ribosomal RNA", at positions 355 to 748 of the family's 1533-position model. Lineage: Bacteria; Pseudomonadati; Bacteroidota; Bacteroidia; Bacteroidales; Prevotellaceae. The record is from RNAcentral.